Anguilla rostrata (American eel) is the source of this 309-nucleotide long non-coding RNA. RefSeq lists it as uncharacterized. The transcript is spliced from 3 exons. Lineage: Eukaryota; Metazoa; Chordata; Actinopteri; Anguilliformes; Anguillidae. The record is from RefSeq and is a predicted model, not a curated record.
GAAGCGCCUCUCGCAGUCUGGUAAUCCAUCAUCCGACUCCAUAGAAACACGCUCUCACAACAGUCGCGCUGGGAACACCUGCAGUGGAACCAGUGUCACACAGUGGGCCAUUCACUUUAAUGAUCUCGGAGGCAGCAAUUCCGGGGUUCAGCAUGGGGUAUCUCCCUUUUGUCUGAGCCGGAGACAGAGCAAGCUCAGCGGGGUGAAGAAGCGGGUUCGCGUGUGGGAUCUCACAUCCAGCUUUCGUCCUAGACCCCUGAGCGUGUGCGCAUCUGGAACUGCACACAACCGGAACAGUGAAGUGAGUAA